Molecule: microRNA precursor, 61 nt
Filed under: Monodelphis domestica (gray short-tailed opossum)
Lineage: Eukaryota; Metazoa; Chordata; Mammalia; Didelphimorphia; Didelphidae
Description: microRNA mdo-mir-7376 precursor
Source: miRBase by way of RNAcentral
UAGCGUGGGGAGGUUAGCUUCUCGUGUUUUGGUUUCCAGUAGCUCGCCCCACCACGAUACU